Long non-coding RNA from Anopheles arabiensis, 422 nucleotides. RefSeq lists it as uncharacterized. NCBI's taxonomy places the organism in Eukaryota, Metazoa, Arthropoda, Insecta, Diptera, Culicidae. The transcript is spliced from 3 exons. The record is from RefSeq and is a predicted model, not a curated record.
GCUGUAGUGUAAUCGAUACAAAAAACAAACAGCUACAGCUCAAUUCUAGCCAAUUCUAAUACUCGUUCAACAUCUUUCUUCUAUUUCAGGUUGCAAUUUUCCACCUCUUCUUCUUCAAUCGGUCAAGAGUAUCAUUAUGCACACAAUUCCUGGCGAGCGAAGAGUACACCACCCUGACCAAGAUGCAGAACUUAUUAACAGGACCACUGAAGCACACACUCGCUGAAGGAAGUACAUGGGCUCCCCAAACCCUAUGUCGAUCACUCUCUACUAGACCAGAAACACACAGACGCUAAUUGAGCGUAAAAUUAGCUUGCUUCGCGCCAACACCAACCACCCCGGACAGAACCGACAUUCACCCGCGCAUUCAACUUACAAUAAAACUAGCUCAGGAAGACGCAAGUUGUAAACUGCUGAAGCUG